CUGGGCUAUGGAGACAUGUAUCCUCAGACGUGGUCUGGUAUGUUGGUGGGAGCAUUGUGUGCUCUGGCAGGAGUGCUGACCAUUGCCAUGCCGGUGCCUGUCAUCGUGAACAAU
This is a non-coding RNA of Cricetulus griseus (Chinese hamster), 114 nucleotides long. NCBI's taxonomy places the organism in Eukaryota, Metazoa, Chordata, Mammalia, Rodentia, Cricetidae. The record is from Rfam.